CGCGGGGUAGGGCAGUUGGUAGCCCGUGAGGCUCAUAACCUCAAGGUCGCAGGUUCGAAUCCUGUCCCCGCUA
This 73-nucleotide transfer RNA is filed under the name Planctomycetaceae bacterium. RNAcentral describes it as "tRNA-Met". It matches the Rfam family "tRNA". From Rfam's summary of the family: Transfer RNA (tRNA) molecules are approximately 80 nucleotides in length. Their secondary structure includes four short double-helical elements and three loops (D, anti-codon, and T loops). Further hydrogen bonds mediate the characteristic L-shaped molecular structure. tRNAs have two regions of fundamental functional importance: the anti-codon, which is responsible for specific mRNA codon recognition, and the 3' end, to which the tRNAs corresponding amino acid is attached (by aminoacyl-tRNA synthetases). tRNAs cope with the degeneracy of the genetic code in two manners: having more than one tRNA (with a specific anti-codon) for a particular amino acid; and 'wobble' base-pairing, i.e. permitting non-standard base-pairing at the 3rd anti-codon position. Lineage: Bacteria; Pseudomonadati; Planctomycetota; Planctomycetia; Planctomycetales; Planctomycetaceae. The record is from RNAcentral.